UUGCCUCCAGAGGGAAUGAAAAGGAGAAGGGGCCAUGAGAUUUAUUCUAUAGUCAUUCUGCCAAGCAGCAUGGCCUCUAAUUGGGUCGAACAAAUGCUCUAUAUGGAGAACCACCAUAUAUGCAUUUAACUUGCAGACUAACAGCCCAAGUGUGAGAGACGACGAUGUAAAUAGUGCGGGAGACUCCCUAGAGUGAGUGUGACAUGUGAGGUCGGAAUCUGCUGUCCAGCCACUCUGAGCUCCUUCAGUCUCUCUUAGACGUGAACAUGUGCUCUGGCCUAAGUGUGAUCCUAGUUUUUCAAGAUUUGCAUAUUUUGAACAAUGUGGCUUCUACUAAGAGCCAAUGACUGCAUUUGGUACCCAGCCAAAGAAAACAGAAAAUGGUUCCACUUCUAGAAUUAAAACAAAACAAACAACUAUGCUGGUCUCAUUAAGAGAAGUCAUGUGGCCUCCAACACAAUGUCUUCCCAAGGAAUUUUUCAGAGUGAUUUUGAUUACAUGCGACUUUUCCUUCUCUGAACUUUAGAACCCCAAGUAACCUCCUCGUACCAUGAAAGAUCGGAGGCAG
RNAcentral lists this long non-coding RNA (568 nucleotides) under Pongo abelii (Sumatran orangutan). RNAcentral's name for it is "lincRNA". The record is from RNAcentral. Lineage: Eukaryota; Metazoa; Chordata; Mammalia; Primates; Hominidae.